AAUGACAUGACAGCUCUUUCUAAAUGAAUGUCGUUAUUAACAGCCACUUUCAGUUUAACGCUAUCAGCGACACAGCCAGGGAAGCCAACCAUUCACACCCGGGGAUACGCGCUAAACACACGCAUUGCAGCGCCGCCAGCUCUCACGCAUCCGGCGUAACACUCACGCGUUCGGACUGUCACGCUCACGCAAGAUAUGUUACGGCAAAUGCGUAGUACGGUAAGUCAAAACACUCGCUACAAAAUAUCGUUUUUGGCGCCAUCUCCUCCCUUUUUUUGUCUAAACCCGGAAUAAGAGAGGACAAUACUUUUUCAGGUUUAUUUUGAGGGGAAAAACCCCGUCUAAUAUUCGGUAAAACAUCAAAGUCAUAAAUAAAUAAAAGCUGGUUGCUAUGUUGGAUCGUCAGCUAUCAGUUAAAGGAGAUUCUCAAUACUCGAAAGGUCUGGGGUACUUUUGAUAAUAAAAGCGUUGAUCCCACCGUGUGGCAUGUAAUGACAAGCAUGAACUGUACAAGCAAUAUACGAGAUGAAGAUGAAUAGAUAUACAGGAAAAAAAUUUCUUACUGCAACUCGGAAGUCAAUGAACAAACUCUGCCGACAUUCCAUCACAGCCUGGAGAAGGAGUGGAAAAUUAAUUCAGCGGCGCCAUCUGCUGAAGAAAAGGGGACUAGCGGCGACGUCUCCUGUUUUCAUCCGCCUUUUCUAGCCACUCGAAAAACACUCUACUUACUUUCAUAAUUCUAUUUAAAGCUUCCAUGCGAAAUUAUUAAACAGUGCAUUUCAUGUAUAUCACCAAACACCAAUAUUAUGGAAGAAAUGAACAUUAGCAUAUGUAACAAUGACCAAAGUAGGGUUUGUUAGUUGUAUAACUAUACAAUGCAACAGAGAGGCACAACAGUUCUCACAGGGUGGUGGGUUCGACCCCCCCCCCCCCCCUCAACAGUUAUGGGAAAUGAAUGGAUAAUUGUUUGCAUAUUAACAUACAGAUAUAUACAUGUUUAUUCAGUCAAGUGGACUGAACACACAUCUGUGACUUGAUAAUACUUUCAGACAGGCCACUCCAUUGCUGUUAAAUUUUGUUGUCCUAUGCACAAUCACUAGAUGAUGCUUGAUUUGUGAAUUGUUAUAUUUAAUGGGGCAAUGCAGCCAAAGUAAACUCAUGGAUUCAGCAGUGAGACUGAC
This is a non-coding RNA of Paramormyrops kingsleyae, 1181 nucleotides long. The record is from RefSeq and is a predicted model, not a curated record. Lineage: Eukaryota; Metazoa; Chordata; Actinopteri; Osteoglossiformes; Mormyridae.